Molecule: unclassified non-coding RNA, 211 nt
Filed under: soil metagenome
Description: partial contains 5.8S ribosomal RNA, internal transcribed spacer 2, and large subunit ribosomal RNA
Source: RNAcentral
AACCUUAUGGACCUGCGGGCGUAUACCUGCGGAAGGAUCAUUAUCGAGUUGCAAAACUCCAACCCUUUGUGAACAUACCUCAGUCGUUGCUUCGGCGGUGGACGGCCUGUUUUUCGGAACGGCCGGAAGCCGCCGGAGGUUCCAAACUCGUAUUUUUUUAGUGUAUCUCUGAGCCUGAAAACAAAUAAUCAAAACUUUCAACAACGGAUCU